Molecule: ribosomal RNA, 322 nt
Filed under: uncultured eukaryote
Lineage: Eukaryota
Description: partial 18S ribosomal RNA
Rfam family: Eukaryotic small subunit ribosomal RNA
Source: RNAcentral
CCCUUAGAUGUUCUGGGCCGCACGCGUGCUACACUGAGUAUUUCAAUGGGUAAGGGAACGCUAGAGCAUUACCUAAUCUUGAAAUUUGCUCGUGAUGGGGAUCGACGGUUGCAAUUUUCCGUCGUGAACGAGGAAUACCUUGUAGGCGCAUGUCAUCAUCAUGCGCCGAAUACGUCCCUGCCCUUUGUACACACCGCCCGUCGCUCCUACCGAUUGAGUGAUCCGGUGAGGCUCUGGGACCUGGACGGAAAGAGCGUUUCGCUUGUUCUGUUUGGGAAACUUGGUCGAACCUUAUCAUUUAGAGGAAGGAGAAGUCGUAACA